AGGCCGUGAUGGGGACACUUGCGUAAUAGCUCCUUGAACCUUUCCCAAGUUUCAUAUAAGGAUUCCCCGUCCUCUUGUGUGUAUGUAUUAAUUUCAGCCAUUAAUUU
This 107-nucleotide small nucleolar RNA is filed under the name Helianthus annuus (common sunflower). RNAcentral describes it as "Plant small nucleolar RNA R71". It matches the Rfam family "Plant small nucleolar RNA R71". From Rfam's summary of the family: R71 is a member of the C/D box family of snoRNAs containing the C (UGAUGA) and D (CUGA) box motifs. Multiple nearly identical copies of this snoRNA have been identified in Arabidopsis, and it is thought to function as a 2'-O-ribose methylation guide for 18S ribosomal RNA. Lineage: Eukaryota; Viridiplantae; Streptophyta; Magnoliopsida; Asterales; Asteraceae. The record is from RNAcentral.